RNAcentral lists this ribosomal RNA (842 nucleotides) under Eucoleus annulatus. RNAcentral describes it as "large subunit ribosomal RNA". The stretch from base 228 to 396 matches the Rfam family "Eukaryotic large subunit ribosomal RNA", at positions 2122 to 2337 of the family's 3401-position model. Lineage: Eukaryota; Metazoa; Nematoda; Enoplea; Trichinellida; Capillariidae. The record is from RNAcentral.
AACAAGCUUUAUGUUAAUUGAUAUCUUUUAAAUUAUUUGUCAUAAGGAUAAGCUUAUAUACAAAAUUAAUAUUAAUAUAAGAAAAAGAUUAGAAAUAUCUUUUUAAUUUAUUCAUAAUAGAAAAUUUAUCACUAUCAUCACUCUAAUCAGCUAUUACUAAUAAACUUAAUUUAUGUUUAAUAUAAUAUAUAAUAGUGAGUAGAUUCGUAAAUAAUAUUUUAAAACUCGACAACUAGAAUCCUAAUGUUUAAUAAAAACAUUGCAUUAUAACAUAUAAUGUAAUACCUGCCCAGUGAUUAAAUAAUUUUAACGGCCGCAGUAAAUUGACUGUGCAAAGGUAGCAUAAUCAUUUGUUUAAUAAAUUUAAACUUGAAUGAAAGGGAAAAAGAGAUUCUAAUUCUUAAAAAGUUAUUUAAUCGAAAUCAAUAAUAAAGUUAAAAUACUUUAUUUAUUUAUUAAAACGAGAAGACCCUAGAAAUUUAAAAAUUUUUUUGGGAUAAAAUAUUCAUAUAAAUUAAGUAACUAAAUUAAAUAUAAUAAAAUUACUCUAGGGAUAACAGCAAAAUUAAAAUUAAAAGACCUAAUUUAAAUUUUAGUUUUUGACCUCGAUGUUGAAUUAUUUUUACUUAUGUGACGCAAAUAUCACAUAAAUUUUGUUUGUUCGACAAAACCAAUUUUACAUGAUUUGAGUUUAGACCGUUGUAAAACAGGUCGGAUUCUCUUUAAUAAAUAUUUAAUAUAAUGAUCUUUUAGUACGAAAGGAAUUAAGAACACAAUUUCUUUGAAAAAUAAUGAUAAAAUCAAAAAAUUUUAUUUUUAAACUUCUAAGUUCAAGAGUUUUA